AAGGUUUCCUGAGGAAGGCUCGUCCGCUCAGGGUUAGUCGGGACCUAAGCCGAGGCCGAAAGGCGUAGGCGAUGGACAACAGGUUGAUAUUCCUGUACCACCUCGUAUUCGUUUGAACGAUGGGGGGACGCAGAAAGGUAGGGUGAGCGCGCCGCUGGCUGUGCGCGUCGAAGCAUGCGAGGCUGGAACAUAGGCAAAUCCGUGUUCCAUAAGGCUGAGCUGUGACCGUGAAGGACCUUCGGGUCCGAAAUCCCUGAUCCUCCGCUGCCGAGAAAAGCCUCUAGUGAGAAUACAGGUGCCCGUACCGCAAACCGACACAGGUAGGCGAGAAGAGAAUUCUAAGACGCUCGGGAGAACUCUCGUUAAGGAACUCGGCAAAAUGACCCCGUAACUUCGGGAGAAGGGGUGCUCUAGUAGGGUUAACCGCCCGAGAGAGCCGCAGUGAAAGGAUCCAAGCGACUGUUUAGCAAAAACACAGGUCUCUGCGAAGCCGUAAGGCGAAGUAUAGGGGCUGACACCUGCCCGGUGCUGGAAGGUUAAGAGGAAGGGUCAUCCCUUACGGGAGAAGCUCUGAAUUGAAGCCCCAGUAAACGGCGGCCGUAACUAUAACGGUCCUAAGGUAGCGAAAUUCCUUGUCGGGUAAGUUCCGACCCGCACGAA
RNAcentral lists this ribosomal RNA (660 nucleotides) under Shouchella clausii. RNAcentral's name for it is "partial 23S ribosomal RNA". It matches the Rfam family "Bacterial large subunit ribosomal RNA", at positions 1347 to 1996 of the family's 2925-position model. Lineage: Bacteria; Bacillati; Bacillota; Bacilli; Caryophanales; Bacillaceae. The record is from RNAcentral.